GGAGAUACUGACCUGAUGUUGAGCUAUGGCUUCCUACCAUUAACAAGCAUUAACCUGACAAGGAUGUGAGUGAGACACCUUGGAAGUCCAUCCUCCAGUCCCAGUCAAGUCUUUAGAUGACUACAGCCUCAGCUGAGAAUCUGAGCAUAAUAUCAUGAGAGUCUUGAAGCUAGAAAUACUCAGCCAAGCUGCUUCUGAAUUCCUAACUCACAAAAACUUAUAUUGAGGAUGACUGCACCACCCAGGAAAGCCCAAGAUUACUCUUCAAUGGAAUGGAAAGGUGUCUAGGAUCAUGGGUGGUAAGAAUCAGACUUCCACAUGGCAAUGCUGACUAUCAGGUAAGGAGAUCAAUAUG
Molecule: long non-coding RNA, 355 nt
Filed under: Homo sapiens (human)
Lineage: Eukaryota; Metazoa; Chordata; Mammalia; Primates; Hominidae
Description: HSALNT0394894
Source: RNAcentral